Molecule: non-coding RNA, 319 nt
Organism: Cinara cedri
Lineage: Eukaryota; Metazoa; Arthropoda; Insecta; Hemiptera; Aphididae
Source: the annotation of a GenBank genome assembly
AAACAAAUAACAUUUUUUAAUUUAUUAACAAUAUCUUAUUAUUAGAUCAUCCCGAAAAUGUUUCACAAAUAACCUCGUUAGCACUAAAAUGAUCUAUGCCUAAAAAUUGUAGCCAUUUCUCCUUUAAAUGUUUAUCUUUAGGGACAUUAAAAAUGGAAUUUCUCCGAGUAAUAAUUAAAGUAACAAAUUGUAUUAGGCAUUUUCAAAAUACAUCUAAACUACUUUAGUUAAAAUAAGACACAUCAAAAAUUAAAUACAAGUGUAUAAAAUAGGUUUAUUGUUGCCAUUAGAUAGCAUAGUCAAGUAUACUAAAUAGUAG